This 329-nucleotide ribosomal RNA is filed under the name uncultured eukaryote. RNAcentral's name for it is "partial 18S ribosomal RNA". It matches the Rfam family "Eukaryotic small subunit ribosomal RNA", at positions 1470 to 1796 of the family's 1831-position model. The record is from RNAcentral.
CCCUUAGAUGUUCUGGGCCGCACGCGCGCUACACUGACGCAUUCAACGAGUCUAAAACCUGCUCUGAUAGGGGUGGGUAAUUUUUUGAAUGUGCAUCGUGAUUGGGAUAGAUGAUUGCAAUUUUUCAUCUUCAACGAGGAAUGCCUAGUAAACGCAAGUCAUCAGCUUGCAUUGAUUACGUCCCUGCCCUUUGUACACACCGCCCGUCGCUCCUACCGAUUGAAUGAUCCGAUGAAUAUCAUGGAUUGAGGAUGCAAGUAGGUUAGCCUAUCUUCAUCUUCGAGAAGUGAAGUAAAUCUUAUCAUUUAGAGGAAGGAGAAGUCGUAACA